Molecule: long non-coding RNA, 215 nt
Filed under: Capsicum annuum
Lineage: Eukaryota; Viridiplantae; Streptophyta; Magnoliopsida; Solanales; Solanaceae
Description: long non-coding RNA (CANN_LNC011903)
Source: RNAcentral
GGGGGGAGCAUUGGCGAUGUUGGUGUUGUUUUGGUGGUUUGCCCGCGGGAAGCUUGCCGGCUAUGGUUAUUGGUGGCGGAAGGGGAAAGGGGCGGCACGUGGUUGGAACUGGGUGGUGGUGCGGAUGGUAAGGGGGAGAAUGGGUAUCGACUGGUUUUUGGCUAGAGGUAGUCCACCGGCGGCGGUUUGCCGAUGGUGAUGCAGCUGUUAUCGUG